AACGAACGCUGGCGGCAGGCCUAACACAUGCAAGUCGAGCGAGGACUUCGGUCCUAGCGGCGGACGGGUGAGUAACGCGUGGGAACGUGCCCUUUGCUUCGGAAUAGCCCUGGGAAACUGGGAGUAAUACCGGAUGAGCCCUUUGGGGGAAAGAUUUAUCGGCGAAGGAUCGGCCCGCGUUGGAUUAGGUAGUUGGUGGGGUAAUGGCCUACCAAGCGGACGAUCCAUAGCUGGUUGGAGAGGAUGAUCAGCCACACUGGGACUGAGACACGGCCCAGACUCCUACGGGAGGCAGCAGUGGGGAAUCUUAGACAAUGGGGGAAACCCUGAUCUAGCCAUGCCGCGUGAGCGAUGAAGGCCUUAGGGUUGUAAAGCUCUUUCAGCUGGGAAGAUAAUGACGGUACCAGCAGAAGAAGCCCCGGCUAACUCCGUG
RNAcentral lists this ribosomal RNA (433 nucleotides) under uncultured bacterium. RNAcentral describes it as "partial 16S ribosomal RNA". It matches the Rfam family "Bacterial small subunit ribosomal RNA", at positions 29 to 507 of the family's 1533-position model. The record is from RNAcentral.